AGCGAACGCUGGCGGCAGGCCUAACACAUGCAAGUCGAACGGAUCCUUCGGGAUUAGUGGCGGACGGGUGAGUAACACGUGGGAACGUGCCCUUUGGUUCGGAACAACUCAGGGAAACUUGAGCUAAUACCGGAUGUGCCCUUCGGGGGAAAGAUUUAUCGCCAUUGGAGCGGCCCGCGUCUGACUAGCUAGUUGGGGAGGUAACGGCCCACCAAGGCGACGAUCAGUAGCUGGUCUGAGAGGAUGAUCAGCCACACUGGGACUGAGACACGGCCCAGACUCUUCCGGAAGGGGGGAAGGGGGAAUGUGGCAAAGGGGGGGAAGGCAUGAAGCUCUUCGGCGGUGAAAAUGAUGUGGUUAUGGGAGUAAAAAAUUUUUUGCACCGGGGAAAAUAUUGACGGUACCCAAAGAGAAAGCCCCGGCUAACUUCGUG
RNAcentral lists this ribosomal RNA (433 nucleotides) under uncultured bacterium. RNAcentral's name for it is "partial 16S ribosomal RNA". It matches the Rfam family "Bacterial small subunit ribosomal RNA", at positions 29 to 507 of the family's 1533-position model. The record is from RNAcentral.